This is a non-coding RNA of Pangasius djambal, 72 nucleotides long. NCBI's taxonomy places the organism in Eukaryota, Metazoa, Chordata, Actinopteri, Siluriformes, Pangasiidae. The record is from the annotation of a GenBank genome assembly.
UCCCUGGAGGACUAGUGGUUAAGCCACAGUGCUCUCAUCGCUGCGGUCUGAGUUCGCUUCCCAGCCAGGGAA